CAGCCGCCGCGGUAAUACGUAGGUGGCAAGCGUUGUCCGGAAUUAUUGGGCGUAAAGCGCGCGCAGGCGGAUAGGUCAGUCUGUCUUAAAAGUUCGGGGCUUAACCCCGUGAUGGGAUGGAAACUGCCAAUCUAGAGUAUCGGAGAGGAAAGUGGAAUUCCUAGUGUAGCGAUGAAAUGCGUAGAUAUUAGGAAGAACACCAGUGGCGAAGGCGACUUUCUGGACGAAAACUGACGCUGAGGCGCGAAAGCCAGGGGAGCGAACGGGAUUAGAUACCCGAGUAGUCCCUGUCUCUUAUACA
This 301-nucleotide ribosomal RNA is filed under the name uncultured bacterium. RNAcentral describes it as "partial 16S ribosomal RNA". It matches the Rfam family "Bacterial small subunit ribosomal RNA", at positions 509 to 809 of the family's 1533-position model. The record is from RNAcentral.